UAUUCAUGGUACGUCUCUUGCUCGGUAGAUCAUCAGCGGCAUGAGGACAGAGAUUUUGUCUGCCUGGUUCAUGGCUGUCUCUUCAGACCCUAGAAUGGUCCCUGACGCCACACUGUAGAUGCUCAGGGAAUGCUUGUGAGAUGGAUGGACGGACGGACGGGCAGACAGAUGGGUACCUCUGGCCCUCCCCAGACUUCAGGGCCCUCUGCCCUUGCCAAGAAUUAAGACUGUGGCCUUAGUCCCAUGGGAAAUCACCCCCAACCCUCAGGCCAGGGAGGGAGCCACAGGAAACUCCUAAAGGAAAAGUCAGCCCUCUGGCUGCCCCCAUGGAGCCCGUGAUCGCUGCCCAGGCUUGGGGGCUGGGCACCAGAUGUGCUGCUACAGGGAGUCCUAGGGGCUGCGAGGGGGCUGUGAAUAAUAAACUGCCAAGUCUCUGUCC
Suricata suricatta (meerkat) is the source of this 439-nucleotide long non-coding RNA. RefSeq lists it as uncharacterized. The record is from RefSeq and is a predicted model, not a curated record. The transcript is spliced from 4 exons. NCBI's taxonomy places the organism in Eukaryota, Metazoa, Chordata, Mammalia, Carnivora, Herpestidae.